GAUAAACGCUGACAGAAGUGGCGUAACACAUGCAAGUCGAAUGUGAGGAUAACGUUCGGUUAUAGUUAGCAUGGCGGGACGGGUGAGUAACGCGUAAAGAACUUACCCUUUAGACUGGGAUAACAGAGAGAAAUUUCUGAUAAGACCGGAUACUCUUAGUAGGUAGCAUUACAAACUAAGGAAAGGAACGCUAAAGGAGAGCUUUGCGUCCUAUUAGCUAGUUGGUGGGGUAAAGGCCUACCAAGGCGACGAUAGGUAGCCGGCCUGAGAGGGUGUACGGCCACAAGGGGACUGAGAUACGGCCCUU
RNAcentral lists this ribosomal RNA (307 nucleotides) under uncultured bacterium. RNAcentral describes it as "bacterial SSU rRNA". It matches the Rfam family "Bacterial small subunit ribosomal RNA", at positions 28 to 334 of the family's 1533-position model. The record is from RNAcentral.